UUUAGAGUUUGAUUCCUGGCUCAGGACGAACGCUGGCGGCGUGCUUAACACAUGCAAGUCUACGAGAACGAGGUAGCAAUAUCUUUAGUAAAGUGGCGUACGGGUGCGUAACACGUAAGUAAUCUACCUUUGGGUUCGGAAUAACUUCGGGAAAUCGGAGCUAAUACCGGAUAAUGCAGCGGCACCGCAUGGUGAUGUUGUUAAAGUUUGUGUAAUGCCUAAAGAUGAACUUGCGUCUGAUUAGCUAGUUGGUGAGGUAAUGGCUCACCAAGGCUGCGAUCAGUAGCUGGUCUGAGAGGAUGAUCAGCCACACUGGAACUGAGACACGGUCCAGACUCCUACGGGAGGCAGCAGUGAGGAAUAUUGGGCAAUGCCCGAAAGGGUGACCCAGCAACGCCGCGUGGAGGAUGAAGGUCGUAAGAUUGUAAACUCCUGUUAGAGGGGAAGAAUAACUAAGUUUGGAGCUUAGUAUGACUGACCCUCAGAGAAAGCCCCGGCUAACUACGUGCCAGC
This 513-nucleotide ribosomal RNA is filed under the name uncultured bacterium. RNAcentral's name for it is "bacterial SSU rRNA". It matches the Rfam family "Bacterial small subunit ribosomal RNA", at positions 1 to 512 of the family's 1533-position model. The record is from RNAcentral.